ACAAAGCGCUUGAAAAUGGAGAAAUGUGUUUUUGAUUGUUCCCUUAAUGUUAAUAGUCAUCCGAACUUGAUUUUUUAUAUUUUGUUUCCUGAUCCAAAGAGAAGAAAAUCGUGGCUUUAUGCUUUAUAUAGAACUGAUUCAUCUUGCUAAAACAAACUUAGGUCGCAAAACAUGUCUAAGUAUGCUCAAAACAUUUUGUAUCUGGUAAGUUUUGUAUUUGAAUCGUCAAAAUAUUUGAGCACUAAUUUUUCUUGAACUUAUUAAGUUUUUUAUUCAUUAAUAUUAUGUACAAAAAAGUCAUUGCAAUAAAUCUCAAGUUAUUAAAGUCAGUUAACAAAUAAGUACUGACAAUUCAUUGACUGGAGUGGAAGAUGUUAGUGUCUUGAACCAACAUGAAACAACAAGUUAACUUGGCUGAGAAUGAUGGUAGUUUAAAAAUAAUGCAGCAUUGGCUAGGAUUGUUCCUAGGUCACAAAAACAAUCUUACAAAUAGAGUUUCUGCUGUUGUCACUGGUUUUAGAGAGUACCUUUGUGAAUGAAGAUAAAAAGUCAUUUAUGUUAUUUUUU
Non-coding RNA from Hydra vulgaris (swiftwater hydra), 567 nucleotides. Lineage: Eukaryota; Metazoa; Cnidaria; Hydrozoa; Anthoathecata; Hydridae. The record is from RefSeq and is a predicted model, not a curated record.